GUGUCAGCAGCCGCGGUAACACGUAGGCACCAAGCGUUGUCCGGAUUUAUUGGGCGUAAAGAGCUCGUAGGCGGUUCGGUAAGUCGGGUGUGAAAUCUCUGGGCUCAACCCAGAGGGGCCACCCGAUACUGCUGUGACUAGAGUGCGGUAGGGGAGUGGGGAAUUCCUGGUGUAGCGGUGAAAUGCGCAGAUAUCAGGAGGAACACCAGUGGCGAAGGCGCCACUCUGGGCCGUAACUGACGCUGAGGAGCGAAAGCGUGGGUAGCAAACAGGAUUAGAUACCCUCGUAGUCC
This 293-nucleotide ribosomal RNA is filed under the name uncultured bacterium. RNAcentral's name for it is "partial 16S ribosomal RNA". It matches the Rfam family "Bacterial small subunit ribosomal RNA", at positions 505 to 796 of the family's 1533-position model. The record is from RNAcentral.